Molecule: ribosomal RNA, 253 nt
Filed under: [Clostridium] methylpentosum DSM 5476
Lineage: Bacteria; Bacillati; Bacillota; Clostridia; Eubacteriales; Oscillospiraceae
Description: partial 16S ribosomal RNA
Rfam family: Bacterial small subunit ribosomal RNA
Source: RNAcentral
UACGUAGGGAGCGAGCGUUGUCCGGAAUUACUGGGUGUAAAGGGAGCGUAGGCGGGACAGCAAGUUGAAUGUGAAAUCUAUGGGCUCAACCCAUAAACUGCGUUCAAAACUGUUGUUCUUGAGUGAAGUAGAGGUAGGCGGAAUUCCUAGUGUAGCGGUGAAAUGCGUAGAUAUUAGGAGGAACACCAGUGGCGAAGGCGGCCUACUGGGCUUUAACUGACGCUGAGGCUCGAAAGCGUGGGUAGCAAACAGG